AAAAAAUAUGAUUCCAAGACUGGAAUGUCACUGGGAUUACAGUCUAAACGUUGGUGUUCCCUGAAGCGGACGCUAAACCUGCCGAGGGUCAGAUGUGACCGCAGAGUUGAUCGAUGCGUCUGCAGAGCUGAACGACUGGAUGCUGAUGAGGGAAAUCAGUGGUUUGAUUCAGGCGUGUUGGAGAAGGGAUGCAGGAGAGUAGCUCUCCAGGACUGGACUUGGGCUCCCCUGUUCUAUAUUAUUAUCCGAUGUUUUUUUCUUUUUCUUUUACAUUUUCCUGUAUAUAUGUUCAUUGCUACU
Molecule: long non-coding RNA, 300 nt
Organism: Fundulus heteroclitus (mummichog)
Lineage: Eukaryota; Metazoa; Chordata; Actinopteri; Cyprinodontiformes; Fundulidae
Exons: 2
Source: RefSeq, a predicted model, not a curated record